RNAcentral lists this ribosomal RNA (253 nucleotides) under uncultured bacterium. RNAcentral describes it as "partial 16S ribosomal RNA". It matches the Rfam family "Bacterial small subunit ribosomal RNA", at positions 524 to 776 of the family's 1533-position model. The record is from RNAcentral.
GACGAAGGAUGCAAGCGUUAUCCGGAUUCAUUGGGUUUAAAGGGAGCGUAGGCGGUCCUGUAAGUCAGUGGUGAAAUCUCUCGGCUUAACCGAGAAAUUGCCAUUGAUACUGCAGGGCUUGAGUACAGUUGCCGUUGGCGGAAUAUGACAUGUAGUGGUGAAAUACAUAGAGAUGUCAUAGAACACCGAUUGCGAAGGCAGCUAACGAAACUGUAACUGACGCUGAGGCUCGAAAGCGCGGGGAUCAAACAGG